Molecule: long non-coding RNA, 1631 nt
Organism: Passer domesticus (house sparrow)
Lineage: Eukaryota; Metazoa; Chordata; Aves; Passeriformes; Passeridae
Exons: 3
Source: RefSeq, a predicted model, not a curated record
CUCAGUAUUAAAUAAGAGAUGUCUGGAAACCAGAAGUGCUCCAAGUUCCUAAAAGGAAUCCCAUCAGCCUUGGGUGGCAUCUCACAGAGCUGCAAUCUCCAUGUAAACAUUACCUGUGAUUUGUACCUCUCACAGCCCCACUCUGGAGUGCACUGACCUGCUUCACAUUGGCUUCCUGACUGACCCUUGAUUUGAGAUUGGAUUGCCUUCUUUACCAGGCAACUGCUUGCUUUGUCCUGCUGAAAAGGGGCAUUUUUCACAUGGCCUGCCCUGCCAGGAUGCCUGCACCAUCACAUCAUUCAGCCACUUGUGGCAGCCCUGGCAGACCCAAGCUGGAAACCAGCUGUCCUUUGUCCAAGCAGCUCUUUUCCACACCACUUGCUCAUAAUGCACUCAAGAAUUUCUGCAGAAGGGCUCUUACUUCAGAAAAUGCUAAUGACUGGAAAGCACCUCUUGCAACACCUCACGGAGAUUUCAGCCCGCCUUCUGUGCUUUCAGUUUUACCAUUUAUGACAGCAUGAACAAGGUGCAGUUUUGGAGGGGAGUACAGUAUUUCAGAGCCAAAAUAACUUUAUUUCUCUGAACAGUAUGGCAAUAAACAUUUUCUCCUGAGGCUAUGGCAGGUGCAUCGUUUGCCUGGGAAAAUUACUGGAAAACUUAACAGCCAAGGAGCUCUUAGCUCAGCAAUGCAGCACUGCGGGUUCCAUCUGCAGCACCCCAGCAAUGAGCAGCUCCUCUCUGUACCCCAGGCUCCAAGAUCUGGAUUUUCCAUCCAGUUUACAAGGCUGAGCCCCUCUCAGCAGACUCCACUGGGCUUCUGACAGAGAUGUUCUUUGCAAGAGCCGUCAGGAGGGAAGGGAUCAAGCAGGUUCUUUAGCCCAGUCAUUUGGAAAUAAUCAAAGUCCCUCCUUGCAGCAGACAUCCCCCUCUAUGACAACAACAAUUCUAUUAGUUCCACAAGGCAACCCCUGUGUUCUGCAUACCAGGUGAGAGGAGCUGUUGGGGGUUUCUGACAAGGUCACAGGAAGCAGUCCCUGAGGUGCAUGUGCCUGGUGUCACACUCAUAUUUUCUGGAAAAGUCCCUUUACCCAGGAUUCUUCUCCUGGGAAGCUGAGAAGCCUCAGAGAAAAAGGAAAACAAUAAUUAUCUGAUUUGCUUCUCCUGUGUUUUGCUGCUUUGGAAUGUGUUUGGAGAUUGUUUACCAACAGGUGAUUGUUUCAUGUGAAUUGUUUUGACUUAUUGGCCAAUUAUGGCCAAGCUGUGUUGGGACUCUGCAAAGAGUCACGAGUUUUCAUCAUUAUCUUUUUAUCCUUCUCCCAACAUUGAACAAACGGCCACAGCAUCGGUAGAGGAGCUGUAAAGAUGAAACGAGACUGAUGAACUCUGUCUACCCUCACCCACCUGCCCACAGCGAGGGAACACGAGAAAACAGCCAACCUUCUCUCUGGUUGCCAAGAUAAUAUCUAAAUGCAUCACAAAUAACAAAAGCAAUGAAGUCGGACAAGGACAGAGAGCCGAGAUGGGCAGCCCGGGAUGCGCUGGCGCUCCCGGAGCGCUCCGAGCCCCGCUCCGCCGUUCCCGGGACAAACGCGCGCCGUUCCCGGGACAAACCCGCGCCGUUCCCGGGACAA